AAAAUCAAUUGGGUUUCAGGAACCACGUACCUUUUCGUUUAUAUAAAAGCUCAUAGAUCGUGAGUCAAGUCUCAAAACAAUCUAAGCUUGCUAGCUGCUUACGACCCGUGGAUCAAUCAGUACCAAAGCUUGAAGAAGCAGAAUCAACAGAAGGGAUAUGGGAAGGGGCAAGAUUGAGAUCCGAAAGAUUGAUAAUUGUACUAGCAGGCAAGUGACUUUCUCAAAGCGUCGGAAGGGUUUGAUUAAGAAGGCGAAAGAGUUGGCGAUUUUAUGUGAUGCAGAAGUUGGAAUUCUCAUCUUCUCAAGAACUGGGAAGCUUUAUGAAUAUGCAAGCAACAGCAUGAAAUCAGUCCUAGAGAGAUAUAACAAAACCAAGGAGGGACACCAGCAACUUCUUAAUCCAGCAUCAGAAAUGAAGUUUUGGCAAAGGGAAGUCACACUCCUAAGGGAGCAACUGCAGAACUUGCGAGAAACCCAUCGGCAGUUCAUGGGAGAACAGCUUUGUGGUUUGAGUUUUAACGAGCUAAAGGGUCUAGAAAAUCAAUUAGAAAUGAGUCUGCAGGGUAUUCGUUUGAAAAAGGAAAGAAUAUUAACUAAUGAAAUUGAAGGCCUGAAUAAACAGGGUAAUUUUAUUCAUCAACAAAAUUUAGAGCUGUACAAGAAGGUACAACAAAAAGAAGGCAUAUUACUUAUAAGGCUUCUGAUAACAGGCUUUCGGCACAAGCGCACUGAAUCUCGAAAGUGGAAAUUGGUGUAGUUCCUUUGGUAUAAGCACAAGUGAGGACUCGCAUCUCCCCCUCCAACUUCAGCUAAGCGGUGCUGACCAACAAACUUAAGAGGCACAGGGAAGAGCAACAGAAAUGGCGGGCAGUCUAUAUAUCAAAGAAGUGCGUGAGGGUUUUGGACAAAUGCUAACCGGUCGCUUGCCCUAAUAAAUAGCAUACCUUAUGACCCAAGCAAGUACAGAAGGGUGAUUUUCGAUCUUUAUUUAUUUAUGAGAUGAACAAGUAGAACAGCUCAACGAAACUUAUAAUACUGAUAUGUUUCACUAUAUUUGUUUAACAAGUUUAA
Argentina anserina (silverweed cinquefoil) is the source of this 1071-nucleotide RNA transcript. It is a transcript of the gene named MADS-box transcription factor 23-like, with no coding region annotated. The transcript has 9 exons. NCBI's taxonomy places the organism in Eukaryota, Viridiplantae, Streptophyta, Magnoliopsida, Rosales, Rosaceae. The record is from RefSeq and is a predicted model, not a curated record.